Molecule: transfer RNA, 65 nt
Filed under: Sepia officinalis (common cuttlefish)
Lineage: Eukaryota; Metazoa; Mollusca; Cephalopoda; Sepiida; Sepiidae
Description: tRNA-Cys
Source: RNAcentral
GACUUUAUAGUUUAAAUUAAAAUAACAAAUUGCAGAUUUGGGGAUAUAUUAAUAUAUUGAAGUUU